GUGAGGAAUUUUGCGCAAUGGGGGCAACCCUGACGCAGCGACGCCGCGUGGAGGACGAAGUCUUUCGGGAUGUAAACUCCUUUCAGUGGGGACGAUAAUGACGGUACCCACAGAGGAAGCACCGGCUAACUCCGUGCCAGCAGCAGCGGUAAGACGGAGGGUGCAAGCGUUGUUCGGAAUUACUGGGCGUAAAGCGUAUGUAGGCGGCAAGUUAAGUUUAAUGUUAAAGCCCACGGCUCAACCGAGGAGAUGCAUUGAAUACUGGCUAGCUAGAGGGUGUUAGAGGAAGACGGAAUUCCCAGUGUAGCGGUGAGAUGCGUAGAUAUUGGGAGGAACAUCGGUAGCGAAAGCGGUCUUCUGGGACAUACCUGACGCUGAGGUACGAAAGCGUGGGGAGCAAACGGGAUUAGAUACCCGGGUAGUCC
This 425-nucleotide ribosomal RNA is filed under the name uncultured bacterium. RNAcentral's name for it is "partial 16S ribosomal RNA". It matches the Rfam family "Bacterial small subunit ribosomal RNA", at positions 354 to 796 of the family's 1533-position model. The record is from RNAcentral.